Molecule: ribosomal RNA, 59 nt
Filed under: Trebouxia arboricola
Lineage: Eukaryota; Viridiplantae; Chlorophyta; Trebouxiophyceae; Trebouxiales; Trebouxiaceae
Also listed under: 5 other names
Description: partial 26S ribosomal RNA
Rfam family: Eukaryotic large subunit ribosomal RNA
Source: RNAcentral
UCGACCUGAGGUCAGGCAAGAACACCCGCUGAACUUAAGCAUAUCAAUAAGCGGAGGAA